This 277-nucleotide ribosomal RNA is filed under the name uncultured prokaryote. RNAcentral's name for it is "partial 16S ribosomal RNA". It matches the Rfam family "Bacterial small subunit ribosomal RNA", at positions 524 to 800 of the family's 1533-position model. The record is from RNAcentral.
UACGUAUGGGGCGAGCGUUGUUCAGAAUUAUUGGGUGUAAAGGGCGUCUAGGCGGGAGAUUAAGUUAGAUGUGAAAGGCGUGGGCUUAACCCACGAAUUGCAUCUAAAACUGGUUUUCUUGAGUUCGGGAGAGGAGAGCGGAAUUCUUGGUGUAGCGGUGAAAUGCGUAGAUAUCAAGAAGAACACCAGUGGCGAAGGCGGCUCUCUGGACUAGAACUGACGCUGAAGCGCGAAAGCGUGGGUAGCGAACGGGAUUAGAUACCCCGGUAGUCCCUGA